AGGGGCCGCCCGAGCGCGGUCCGAGCCAUCUACUGCUGCCGGCCACCCGGACCUCCCGACUCGCAGCCCGCCCCUUCCCCGCCCGCCGCCGUCACCAGGGAAACGGGCCGCGACCGCCUGCCGACCCCAAGCUGGUUUCAUGGCAGCCGCGAAGAAAGCAGUUUUGGGGCCAUUGGUGGGAGCAGUGGACCAGGGCACCAGCUCGACGCGCUUUUUGGUUUUCAAUUCAAAAACAGCCGAACUACUUAGUCAUCAUCAAGUGGAAAUAAAACAAGAGUUUCCAAGAGAAGGAUGGGUGGAGCAGGACCCUAAGGAAAUUCUGCAUUCUGUCUAUGAGUGUAUAGAGAAAACGUGUGAGAAACUUGGCCAGCUCAAUAUUGAUAUUUCCAACAUAAAAGCUAUUGGUGUCAGUAACCAGAGGGAAACCACUGUAGUCUGGGACAAGUUAACUGGAGAGCCUCUCUACAAUGCUGUGGCUGCUCCAGUUUCUCCUGGCCCUUCAGAUCCAGCUGCCGUUGUUCCCUCUGGCUCUUCAGUUCCAGCUGCUGGCCCUUCCUCAGUGUGGCUUGACCUAAGAACCCAGUCUACCGUUGAGAGUCUUAGUAAAAGAAUUCCAGGAAAUAAUAACUUUGUCAAGUCCAAGACAGGCCUUCCACUUAGCACUUAUUUCAGUGCGGUGAAACUUCGUUGGCUCCUUGACAAUGUGAGAAAAGUUCAAAAGGCAGUUGAAGAAGAUAGAGCUCUUUUUGGGACCGUUGAUUCAUGGCUUAUUUGGAGCUUGACAGGAGGAGCCAGUGGAGGUGUCCAUUGUACAGAUGUAACAAAUGCAAGCAGGACGAUGCUUUUCAACAUCCAUUCUUUGGAAUGGGAUAAAGAGCUCUGCGAAUUUUUUGAAAUUCCAAUGAAAAUUCUUCCGAAUGUCCGGAGUUCUUCUGAGAUCUACGGCCUAAUGAAAAUCUCUCAUAGUCUGAAAGCUGGGGCCUUGGAAGGUGUACCAAUAUCUGGGUGUUUGGGGGACCAAUCUGCCGCAUUGGUGGGACAAAUGUGCUUCCAGGAUGGACAAGCCAAAAACACGUAUGGAACAGGCUGUUUCUUACUAUGUAAUACAGGCCAUAAGUGUGUAUUUUCUGAACAUGGCCUUCUGACCACAGUGGCUUACAAACUCGGCAGAGACAAACCAGUGUAUUAUGCGUUAGAAGGUUCCGUAGCUAUAGCCGGUGCUGUUAUUCGCUGGCUCAGGGACAAUCUUGGAAUUAUAAAGACCUCUGAGGAAAUUGAAAAACUUGCUAAAGAAGUAGGUACUUCUUAUGGCUGCUAUUUCGUCCCAGCAUUUUCAGGGCUAUAUGCACCUUAUUGGGAGCCCAGUGCAAGAGGGAUCAUCUGUGGGCUCACUCAGUUCACCAAUAAAUGUCAUAUUGCUUUUGCUGCAUUAGAAGCUGUUUGUUUCCAAACUCGAGAGAUUUUGGACGCCAUGAACCGUGACUGUGGAAUUCCGCUCAGUCAUUUGCAGGUAGACGGAGGAAUGACCAACAACAAAAUUCUGAUGCAGCUACAAGCAGACAUUCUGUAUAUCCCAGUAGUGAAGCCCUCGAUGCCCGAAACAACUGCCCUGGGAGCUGCCAUGGCAGCAGGGGCUGCAGAAGGGGUUGGCGUUUGGAGUCUGGAACCUGAGGACUUGUCAGCUGUCACAAUGGAGCGGUUUGAACCUCAGAUCAACGCUGAGGAAAGUGAAAUUCGUUAUUCUACGUGGAAGAAAGCUGUGAUGAAGUCAAUGGGUUGGGUUACAACUCAGUCUUCAGAAAGUGGUGACCCUAGUAUCUUCUGUAGUCUACCCUUGGGCUUUUUUAUAGUGAGUAGCAUGGUAAUGUUAAUCGGAGCAAGGUACCGCUCAGGUAUGCCAUAAAUACUACCAACUCAUGGAUUCCAAAGAUGCGAGCUCUUUACCUAUCGAGAGAAUCCAGUGAUUCUGUCUCUUAAUGUGAUGACACUACUCAUAGACUCUGAUUUUAUUUAUAAGCCACUAGCUGCAUGACCCUCCAAGUAGACCUGUGGCUUGAAAUAAAGAAAAUGCAGCAGAAAGAAUGCUAUAGAAACAUAUGACUAGAACUUAGAUCAAAGUUAAAUUGAGAAAGAAAUUGCAGGAAACGUGACGCUCAGCUGUUAGCACUUGAUCAGGCACACUCUGAAGAAUUAACCUACAGCCGAAGAAGUAGUUUCUGGAAUGAUGAGCACCUUACUCGUUCUGUUAGAAAAGACUACAGUGUCCCAUCUCAGCAUCCAGAAAAUACCCUGCUGAGGUCAGCAGCCAUUAUCAAUAGGGUCUUGUGGUCAUGCCCAACCAUGACCUACUGGUUCCACUCUCUGCUUCAGUUUCUCUCUACCUGGGUGAUUUGGUGGAGUGAAGUACACCAUUGUUCUCUGAAUUCAAUAGCCAACACCUCAACCUUUUGUUCUCCAGGUAAUCAGUAAUAUAAGUAAUGCAUUUUUGCUUCUGUAAUAAUAUCUUAGAAUUUUUUAGUGUGUUUCUUUUGAAAUGCCUAAAGGUCAGUUCUUUGGCUUAUGGGUAUUUUGUAUCAUGUGGGAAUGAAGAAUGAUAGCUAUUUAGGAGGAACCACCAAUCAAAAUAUGUCAUAGCACAGAAACUGUAACAGUAUUGGCAGUCCUAGUAGGUAGUAUUUACCUCACAGUGUCUACCUAAUCGUAAAUAGAAGUUCAAAAAUUACUAUUUUUAUAGCUUUAAUGAGGUAUAAUUGAUAUACAGAAAACUGUACAUAUUUAAUGUAUAUACUUUGAUGAGUUCAGACAUAUGCAUACACCCAUUAUCCCAUUACCACAAUCAAGGUUAUAAACAUAUCCAUCACCUCCAAAAUUUUUCUUAUGUCCCUUUGCUUGUUGUGUUUGUGUGUUAAGAAUGCUUAACAUGAGGUCUACCCUCUUAAAUUUUUUUUAAUAUUUAUUUAUUUAUUUUUGGCUGCAUUGGGUCUUUGUUGCUGCGUGCAAGCUUUCUCUAGUUGUGGUGAGCGGGGGCUACUCUUCAUUGCGGUGCGUGGGCCUCUCAUUGCGAUGGCUUAUCUUGUUGCGGAGCAUGGGCUCUAGGCACGCAGGCUUCAGUAGUUGUGGCGCACAGGCUCAGUAGUUGUGUCUCUCGGGCUCUAGAGCGCAGACUCAGUAGUUGUGGCGCACGGGCUUAGUUGCUCCACAGCAUGUGGGAUCUUCCUGGACCAGGGCUUGAACUUGUGUCCCCUGCAUUGGCAGGUGGAUUCUUAACCACUGUGCCACCAGGGAAGCUCUACCCUCUUAAAUUUUUAAGUGCACAAUACCGUAUUGUUAACUCUAGGCACUAUGUUGUACAACAGAUCUCUAGAACUUAUUCAUCUUGUGUAAUUAACUUCAUAUCCAUUGAACAACUCCCCAUUUCCCCCUCACCCCAGCCCCUGCUAGGCACCAAUCUCUUUUCUGUUUCUAUGAGUUUGACUUUUUAAGAUUCCACACAUGAAGUAAGAUCAUGCAGUAUUUCUUUCUGUGUCUGGUUUAUUUCACUUAGCAUAACAUCUUCCAGGUCCAUCGAUGUUGUUAACAAUAGUAGAAUUUCCUUCUUUUUUUAAGGCUGAUCAAGAUUCCACUGCAUGCACAUACCACAUUUUCUUUAACCAUUCAUCUGUCAGUGGACAUUUGGGUCAUUUCUAUAUCUUGGCUAUUGUGAAUAAUGCUGCAAUGAACAUGGGAGUGUAGAUAUCUCUUCAAGAUCCUGAUUCCAAUGCUUUUGGAUAUAUACUCAAAAGUGGGACUGCUGGAUCAUAUGGUAGUUCUAUUUUUAAUUUUUUUGAGGAGUCCUCAUACUGUUUUCCACAGUGGCUGUACCAUUUUACAUUCCCACCAACAAUGUUACAAGUGUUCCAAAAAUUAUUUUUUAACUAGAACUUUGUAAUAACUUGUUUUAACUAAUAAUAUUUAAACAAUGAAGUUUACUUGAUCCGUUCUAGCAACCUAACAAUUUGUAAGGUCACAUAACAGGCAAUUAGUGGAAAACUGAGUGGCUUUUUUAAAACCAACUUGGUUGCUACUUGGUCUAUACUUUAUAGGUACAUAUCUUAGUUCUGGUCUUAUGAUAAAGUAUAAAUUGUGUUAAGUAUCAUAGACAAAAAACUCUCGCAAGUGUUUCCAAAGGUUUCCCUGUCAUCAGAUUCAGUGAAAAUGACCUAUUAAAUUAAAGUUGGGGACUGUAAAGAUAAAUAUUCUGAGAAGCAUGAGAUAGUUUAAAAACAAGUUGCUCAACUAGACCAAUAUCUCUAUUUACCAGUUUUCAUCCUAUUUCAGGUAACUAGUUCUACCUGACAGCAUAAUAGUUGAGGAUAACAAUAUUUUAUUUUAAAAAGCAGCCUCAGGCCUUUUUCAGUUUUCCUGUGUAGUAUUAAAAUUAAGUAGCUUCUUUUAUUCCCCAUUAUUAAAUCUGAUAUUAUUUAUGUCAUUGGUUGCUUAUUAUGAUAUGACUAGUUUACAAGUGGAUUUCAUAAAUAUCAGAUCAUUUAAAUCAUCUCCAAAACACUCAUCAAAAGGAGGCUGGUUAAAUUAACUGUGCUACAGCCACACAAUAUAGAACAUGUAGCUUUAGAAGAGCAUGGGGACGCUGUCUAGAAACAUGGAAACAUCCAAGAUAAGUGAAAAAGCAAGGUGCAGAGGAGUGCAUAAGUGUGCUACCUUUCCAUUUAAAAAAAAGAAAAAAAAAAAGAAAAAACUAGGAUGUUUGCCUAUGCCGGACGGACACAUAAAGAAACUGGGAAGCUGCUGCAUAGCACAGGGAGAUCAGCUCGAUGCUUUGUGCCCACCUAGAGGGGUGGGAUAGGGAGGUUGGGAGGGAGACGCAAGAGGAAGGGGAUAUCGGGAUAUAUGUAUACGUAUAGCAGAUUCACUUUGCUAUGCAGCAGAAACUAACACACCAUUGUAAAGCAAUUAUACUCCAUUAAAGAUGUGGGGGGAAAAAAAAAGGAAGCUGUUAAAUAGUACUGGAACAGAACGCAGUGAUCAGGCAUGUGGGAGACAGGAGUAGGGAAAAACAUAUAAAAGUUAUAUAUUUGAACCAUGUUAAUUGCUAGUAUGUGUAAUAUUGAACCAUGUUAAUAUAUUAACUAUUUGCAAAACUAAUUUUAAAUUUUUGAACUUAAAUUCAGAGGCCAUUGUACAUGAAUGUUCAUGACAGCAUUAUCCAUAACAGCCAAAAAGGAAAUAACCCACAUAUCUAUCAGCUGAUGAAUGGAUAAGUGAAAGUUGGUAUAUCCAUACAAUGGAAUAUUAUUCAGGUAUAAAAAUGAAUAAAGUACCGGAUACAUGCUACAACAUAAAUGAACCUUGAAAACUGCACAAAGUGAAAGAAGUCAUAUACAAAAAGCCACAUAUUGUAUGAUUCCAGUUGUAUGAAAUGUCCAGAAUAGACAAAUCCAUAGAGACAGAAAGUGGAUUAGUGGCCAGAGUCUGGGGGGAGGGGAAAGGGGACGUGACUGCUAAUGGACCGGGUUUCUUUUGGGGUGAUUGCACAACUUUGUGACUAUACUAAAAACUGAAUUAUACACUUUAAAGGAGUACGUUUAUGGUAUAUGAAUUAUAUUUCAAUAAAAAUGUAACUUUAAUUUGCAUUUAUGUAAAAUAAAUGUACAUGACCAGUCCCUGAUGGCAUGUGAACUUGUAGUCCCUGAAAUGAGCCCUCUGAAGGAAAUAAAUUUUAUUUGCUCCUUGAAAAAUGGAGGUUAAUAAAUUUAUCUCCUUUUUAUUUCACUUUCAUUAACUAUUUUUUAAGUAUCUAAUACUGGAAAUAAGAAAAAUGCUUUAGUCACUGAUACAUAAAAGAUUAUGAUGAAGUAGAAGAUCUGGGCUCCCGUUCAGUUUCCCAGGCAUUUUCAUGGUCUGUCCAAGAGAAUAUAGUGAUAAAAAGGAUGCAGCUAACUCGUUUUCCCCAAAGACUUGAUAAAUGAGGAGGCAGUCUUCUGAACGUAUUAAGCAAAUCAUAUCACUAUAAUUACCAGUAACUUCACUUCUAGUUACGAAACUAUGCUGUUUCCUAAUUUUCUUGAAGGUUUAGCCUCAUCUGUUUAUCAUCUUCUUUCUCCUCAAACUCAUUUUAAACCUUUAACCUUUCAUUAAUUUACCACCACCUCCUUUUCUUUACUACUGUUUAUAGGAGGAAACAAUAGGUCUGUUUGUCAUCUACCUCUUCAAAUAAUUGUAAAUCUACUUCAAAUGGCAGUGAAUGUUUACAAGUUCACACUCUACAUCACUGGUUUCUCAACAGCCGGGGGAGCACUUUGUAAAAUGAGCAUUCCUGUCCAUUUAAUUCUUUUGAUCAAAUUGUUUGUUUGGAAAUCAGAGUAAUACUGCUCUUAGAAAAAUUAGAAGAUAAGAGGUUACAAAGAAGAGUAGAAAAUCAUUUAUUUUUUCCCCAAAAUUUAAGGUGGUAUUUUCAUAGAUCUUGAAUGUUCAUAAACUUUAUAUAAAAAUUUUAACCUGCACAACAAUACAACGUAUCAUGUGUAUGGACACAUACAGUUGAACUAGAAGUAUGAAACUUGCAUAGGGAUGAUAGAUACCAAGUUUAGGAUGGUGGUUACUUCUGGAAGGCAGAGCAUGGAAUCAGGGCAAGAGACUUCACUGGAACCUGAAAAGUUGUGUUUCUUAAAAAAUUAAAAGCUAAAGCAAAUAUAGCAAAAUCUUAAGAUUUGACUGAGUGGUGGAGUAUGGAUGUAUUUACUAUAUUCUCUACUUUUCUGUAUGCUUGAAAUAUUUCAUAGUAAAAAUAUAAGGUGUAUCGUCCUCCUAAUUGUAUGUAUCUAAGUCCACCACUCACUGUCCAUUAUUGUAAUUUUGUUUAUCCUGACACCCUUCCCAAUUAAAAGGGCUGAAAUCUUA
Balaenoptera acutorostrata (minke whale) is the source of this 6897-nucleotide RNA transcript. It is a transcript of the gene named glycerol kinase, with no coding region annotated. Lineage: Eukaryota; Metazoa; Chordata; Mammalia; Artiodactyla; Balaenopteridae. The record is from RefSeq and is a predicted model, not a curated record. The transcript is spliced from 23 exons.